Monodelphis domestica (gray short-tailed opossum) is the source of this 1805-nucleotide long non-coding RNA. Lineage: Eukaryota; Metazoa; Chordata; Mammalia; Didelphimorphia; Didelphidae. The record is from Ensembl.
UCUUUGAAGAGCAGACCCUAUUCUUGUAGGAUCCUGCUCCCCCUGGCCCUCAUCCAAACCCUGCUACCUUCCUCCCUGGCCCCCUAGACACACACACACACACACAUACACAUUUCCUGGAGUGGCCUCAGAGAUCCCCUGGCAGUUGGUUCCCUUAUCCUCAGCUUCCUGUUUGGGUUUCAUCGAGGUUUGGCCGUUUCAACAGCUGAACGGAGGGAGGUUGUAAGAGAGAGGAGGCUGGGAGGAUCCUCUAAAGUGAUCUGGGAAAGCACUGAAUACCCCUAGAAUGACUGAGAAAUCCUCAGCUCCUUAGGCUGCGAAGCAUCUUGAGAGAUGAUCUAGUCCAUUGUUGCUCAGGGCCAGAUCACUCCUUAGCCACUCUGAAGAGAAGAUCACAUGUUUAGCCCAGGGAUGGUGAGAUCAUCACAAAGGGAAGAAAACCGGUUCUAUCUCCUCAUCUCCCCAUGACUUCCCUCAAGCUAGUCCAGUCCAAUCUCCUCCAUAUCUGUUCUCUCCUCCCUUGCUAUGGGUCAGGUCCAUUCUUGCUUCCAGGCCCAUGCUCAGGGUGUUGCCCUGCCUGGAAUGCCCUUGUCAACUCUUCCAAAUCCUUCAAGGUCUGAUUGAAGCCCCACCUCCUUGGUGGCAUCAGCUGCCAGGUCUCUCCUAUCUUCUUCCUGGGAUUCUUACAAAGGGACCUGGAGCGCUGACGGUAUUCUUUCCAAAUGGCUAUGUAGUCAAAUUCCCUGAAGAGGAAGUUGACAGUCUGUACAGAGUCCCAGCUCUUGCAGGUUCUCUUUACCACUGAGAAGGAACGGAUUUUCCUGGAAGCCAGGCCAGGAAGAAUGUUCCUGGAAUCGAUGGCAGACCCACGAACCAGCCCAACCGCAUUGAUGACACGUUCCCCCUGAACCUCCCCAAUUGGGAUUUUGAACAACCUGAAGGUAGGGAGUGUCUCCGAGUCUAUUGCCAGACUCUCAUGGCCGGUCUCUGUGCCAUGACUUAAAAACCCAUCAAUUUGACCGAGGUCAAUUUAGUUAGACAGGGACUAGAGGAGAGUCCUGCCUCCUUUUUGGAGAGACUGAAGAAAACUUUCUGCCUAUACACCCCAAUGGACCCCCAGGUGGAAAUAAGCCAUGCCGCCAUACUCUUGGCCUUUGUUAAACAGUCAGUUCCCGACAUUUGUUGGAAGCUCCAAAAAGUCUAAGGACUGGGUGACCAGUCCCUUGGUGACUCCUAAAAGUUGCUGAGUGAGUGUUUAACACUUGCGAGACCCCGGACAAACGGGCAGAGCGCCUCCGGCAAGAGGACCUGGAAUAUAAGGCCAAACAGGAUUGCAAAAACCAGAAAGACCUCGCCAGAAUUCUGGUGGCUGGGCUAACCCAGCACCCCAUGACUCAGCUCCCUUUGGGGACCUUCUUAAAACCAUGGAGGAUACCCCCGCUCCCACUGCUUUCAUUGUAAUGAGGAGGGUCAUUGGAAGAGGCAAUGCCCCCAGUUGACUAAAGACCACCCCUCUGACCGAGACUGCAGAGACAGGUCUGGAUGGAAAGACCCUCCGGAGUCUCCCCGUUACCUCCGCUUCGACCAGCACCCGAAGGUCCUGUGGGCCCAGGAGACAGAUGACUGAGGGGCACGGAAUUCUGAGCCCGUCCCGGAGUCCUGGGUAACCUUAAAGGUGGAGGAGAAACCAGUGAACUUCCUGGUAGACACUGGUGCCCAAUUUUGAGUUCUUAAAAACCUGCCUGGGUCUCUCCCUUCCAAGAUCAGCUGGGUGCAGGGUGCCACGGGCACUAAGCACUAUAACU